This 253-nucleotide ribosomal RNA is filed under the name uncultured bacterium. RNAcentral describes it as "partial 16S ribosomal RNA". It matches the Rfam family "Bacterial small subunit ribosomal RNA", at positions 524 to 776 of the family's 1533-position model. The record is from RNAcentral.
UACGUAGGGACCGAGCGUUGUCCGGAUUCAUUGGGCGUAAAGGGCGCGUAGGCGGCUUGGCAAGUGGAAGGUGAAAUCCCUCGGCUUAACCGAGGAACUGCCCUCCAAACUGCUUUGCUUGAGGCCGGGAGAGGUGAGUGGAAUUCCCAGUGUAGCGGUGAAAUGCGUAGAUAUUGGGAGGAACACCAGUGGCGAAGGCGGCUCACUGGACCGGUUCUGACGCUGAUGCGCGAAAGCCAGGGGAGCAAACGGG